GCCUACGACCAUAUCACCCUGAAUGCGCCCAAUCUUGUCUGAUCUCGGAAGCUAAGCAGGGUCGAGCAUGGUGAGUACUUGGAUGGCAGACUGCCUAGGAACACCAGGUGUUGUAGGAU
This 119-nucleotide ribosomal RNA is filed under the name Petromyzon marinus (sea lamprey). Lineage: Eukaryota; Metazoa; Chordata; Hyperoartia; Petromyzontiformes; Petromyzontidae. The record is from RNAcentral.